ACGCUGUUCGUCUUUGACGAACACUUUAGUGUUCAUGCGCAUAGGCUCUUCGGCCGAUCACGUAAGAGCGGGUGCAGCAUUAGUGUGGCUGUACCAGACACGAGCAGUCUCAGUAUAUGACGGAAGCUUGUGCCGAAUGUUCAACAUCUGCUGCCACUGCUUUCUAGCCACCACAUCUUAACAGUGAGAAGUUGAUCUAAACCUGCUUUACCGUCCAAGCUCCAUCUAUUGAUAGGUUAAAGAAUUCUGGGGAAAAUAGCAGGAGUUGUCCUAUACGUUUUGAAACAUCACCUAGAGAUAAUAUUUUAAACUAUCUUAUCUUUUUCGUCUUGGUACUCCAGAGAGCCACAAAUCAUUGGAUAAAACAGUCUUUUUUUUAUCCUUGAUUAUAUAUUAUGACACAGUAAAGAACAUUGUCGCUCCUUGUCAUCAUCACCAUUAACACACGUUUGGUUUUACCCAAUUUUCCGAAAUUUCCUGGGGCCAGCCUACUAGACCAGCGACCAACCAGUUGAACUGAGCCAGCUGUUCUUUCACCGAUGCGAUAAAUAUAACGGAGAAGACGGACAGUGUUGGAGAUUGCAUGAGUCACAGUUAUCCAGACAGUUCAGACACAGUGUCGCCCCAAUAAGCAACCCUUUCUGUUCUUCUCUCGCUUCUGUGGGAGUACCUGAAACUAAAAACUUGGUGGAUCGACUCGGCGUCAUCUAGCCAACCAGACAGACAAACCUACCAAACCCGCUGUGCACGGGGCAGCCUUAACCCUUUCAUUCCAGGUGUACGUGCGUGAAAGGCUCAGCGGUUUCAGCGCAUUUCGAACGGCGUAGUCUGGUAUUCAGUAAUUCGUCUAGCCAAUCCAAGUAUUACAAAAAGUGGUCCUCGUCAGUUCGCCCCACCACACAUCGCCGAAGCUUAGGUUUCUAUCCCAGGCCAAACAUUUAGCAGGGAGAGACUGCUACUACGUUCUUAUCGCCCACUUGCCGGAAUUGAAGGAGCAUUUGACGUUGGAAUUUGGAGGCUCCUUUGUGGUUUAUUCUUCUAGAAGAUUCGAUGAUUAUGGCCAUGGUAAACAACCUUCCGACGGUCAAAGACUCUCGCUGGCUGCAGCUGGAGGUUUGCCGAGAAUAUCAGCGAAACAAAUGCACCAGACCUGACACGGAGUGCAAGUUUGCCCAUCCACCUGGAAAUGUGGAGGUUCAGAACGGAAGGGUAAUUACGUGCUACGAUUCCAUAAAGGGUCGGUGUAAUAGAGAAAAACCACCCUGUAAGUACUUUCACCCUCCGCAACACCUAAAGGAUCAGCUUUUGAUAAAUGGGAGAAACCAUCUUGCCCUUAAGAAUGCCUUGUUACAGCAGAUGCCUCUCCAACCAGUUCUCCACAGCCAGAUUCCAACUGUGGCUGCAACGAACUCCUACUUGGCCACUCUUCCCACGAUGGCCACACCUUCAACGUUCAGUCCCUACUUUAGUCCAAGUCCCAUGAUGGGGAUGAUGCCAGCUGAUGCCAUGGCACCACUAAGUGUUAUACCCACACCUAUGGUCACGCCUCAGAAGGUGCCACGUACGGACAGGUUAGAGGCUUUUCCUGGUAUGAUUCCUUGCACCAAAAGGCCAGCACUUGACAAAAGCGGACUCCCCAUGUACCAGCCAAGUACCACACCGUAUCAACAAGCUCUCACCAUGCAGGUUCAGCAGCCCUUCGUGCCUGUUUCCUUUGCUGUACACCCUGGGACUGUGCCAAGAUUUUAAGUCAGGUUUGUGUAAUUGAUCACCAUGUCGCUCUGUUCAUCUUUGAGAAGUAAGGUUUUGUGAAAGUUGUGGAUGGGAAAGCGACAAUGUUUCAUUAUUUGUUCAAAGGGAAAUUCUGUUGCCCUUUAUGCAAGUGCUAUCAUCUUCUUGCGGCCACGCCCUUUUUAGAGAUCUUGGUGUAGUUAUGCCAAGGUUUUAUCUAGGGCUAGAGUUAUAGGCUAUCUUGUAUGAUUUUGCCUCUUUGGGACUAGGGGGAUCCAAAUAAAAGAUAUUUAAGUUGAUGAUGACGUUAAAUAAAAAGUUGACGUGUAUCACUAACCCUAAUAUAUUCGAUUGCGUGAGAUCAAAAAUGAAAUAACAUACUUCAAAAUUGGUGAAAUCUUUUUUUUUUCUCUCUCUCUCUCUCUUUAAAUGCUGAAAUUUGAACCGAUGUUCGAUGAUGAAUUUGAAAUUUCUACCAAAAGAGUUUAUAUUUGAUAAUCAUGAACUUGUUUGGAGCUCUAGUCACACAUUCGACAAACAUGAAAAAUCUAAAUCUCUCUCACGUGCCAUUAAUUAUGACCACAUUCGAGACGUAUUUUUACUUGAAGAAGUAUGAAUGUUGAAGAAAAAGGUAUUUUCAAUUCCAUAUUACUUCCUCUCCAAACCAGCUCUUCUAUGUUGUGAUACUAGUUUUAAAAUAUAUUUACAUUUCUUUAACUGCAAAUAAUGUAGUAUCAUUUGGUGAUGGGUUAUGAACAGUUAAUGUUUAUGCAAAGUUAAAACACACGUUUUAAUCAUUUUUGGAUUAAGAAUGACCGACACAUUAUAAGAUAAUAAGAAAUUAUCAGAUAUAGGCUCAUUUUGAUGGCUAUUUGUUACUUGAAACUUAAAAACAGACGACUAUAUUGUUGUAUUUUUGAAUCAGUUAACGUUAAAUUUCAAUUCAAUUUGAUUAACUUUUUUAAAAUGUUUCCGUUAAUUUAUAAGUGUUAAAGUAACCCAAUGUUUUUUUGUAUUAUACUACAAGCAAAUGAAAUAAAUAUUAAACCCUGACACCAUAUAUAUACAUAUAUAUAUAUAUAUAUGUGAAAAUAUAUUAUAUUGAUAAUUAAUUAUUUUUAAAGACAUGAACUUACUUUAAAGUGUGUAGCUAAAACACCAUAAACAGAAAGAUAAGAAAUGAUGAUGAUAUGAGUUUGUGUAAACUUGAAAAGUAUAAGAUUAUGGUAUGAUAAUAUUUCUAUUGAUGGAUGUGUUCAUAUCUUUGAUUAAAAAUUGAAUGCGUUUCUCAUACGUGAUUUUGUUUUGUUUAAAUAUGGGUGUUACUAUUAAGUUUGCACUAUUUCGAAAUGUAAGGAAGAAGUCUGUUAUUGAUAGGUUUUCUUCUAUAUAAUAUUUACACAGCUUCAAAGGUAGUUAACGAUGGUAACGAAGGUUGUGUAUUUUUUAUUCAGCUAUAUUAACCAUUAUUACUAGUGUCCAAACUGAGUACUAAUAGUCGUAUGCGAUUGAAUGAAGUGAUUGAAUUAGCCUCAAAAGUCAUUAUGAAAUAUAUCAAGGUUAUGUGUUAAAACUUCCCCAAACUCUCUACUGGGUAUUAAAAAGUAUAUAUUUUAACGUUUGUGGUAAAUCAAUUCGGUUAAAAACCUAUGUCAAAAUGUGUGAUGUAUACACUAUGAUGCAUACUGGUUGAAGUUUGAAGUUUCAGUUCAAAGAUUGUUGGAUUGAGUUACAAAUAUGCCAAUUGGCGUAUGCAUUUUCAAAAUUUGUAAGGUUUAUGUUUUUACUCUCUUCAAAAUAUACACGCGAAAUGUGAAGAACAACAGAAGCUUUUACACUUACACGUAUUUCUCAUGCUUGCAGGUCACAAAGUUUAAUAAUUUCAUUACUUGAAGUUUCUCGGUCUUGCGAACACCCAUUUCCUUGCAACAUCGAAACCAUGUACUAGGUUCUGCCUAAAUUCCAGCUUCUCCAAAAUUUGAUUUGAUUGGUUGGUAUAAACAUAACAUCAUCCACUUAAAGCAUGAAUUAUCACCUUUACUACUCGUCUAGAUCCAGGCCAUCGAUGAACAUAAUUAAUCAAAUGUUUGAAAUUAUCGAGCUUGGCAGACUUGCCACUUUUUUGUUUUUGACAAAUCAGUCAAGCAAAAUAAAAUGGUAAACAAGGGAAUGAGUAAAGUUCGAGUAUUGGCUGAAAAUGCUAAUUUCAUACUAAAUGCCUCUGGAUUUUGAGCUUUCAAUCAGAUAUAUUUUCAUAUAACUAUGUUAAAAACGAGAGAAAUUAUCCCAACAAAUAACAAAUAUAUAUCCUUAAUCUGUUUGACGAGACUGUGACUGUAGAAAGCAACAGUGACACUAGUAAUCCUUAUACUGUGACUGUAGAAGGCAACAGCGGCUCUAGCUAUCCUUAAACUGUGAUGAGACUGUGAAUAUAGAAGGCAACAGCAACACUAGCUAUUCUGAAGCUAUGUUAUAAGACUGUAACUGUAG
RNAcentral lists this unclassified non-coding RNA (4221 nucleotides) under Limulus polyphemus (Atlantic horseshoe crab). Its description in RNAcentral is "muscleblind-like protein 1, transcript variant X2". Lineage: Eukaryota; Metazoa; Arthropoda; Merostomata; Xiphosura; Limulidae. The record is from RNAcentral.